RNAcentral lists this ribosomal RNA (200 nucleotides) under uncultured bacterium. RNAcentral's name for it is "partial 16S ribosomal RNA". It matches the Rfam family "Bacterial small subunit ribosomal RNA", at positions 8 to 208 of the family's 1533-position model. The record is from RNAcentral.
AGAGUUUGAUCAUGGCUCAGGACGAACGCUGGCGGCGUGCUUAACACAUGCAAGUCGAACGGAAAGGCCCCUUUUUGGGGUGCUCGAGUGGCGAACGGGUGAGUAACACGUGGGUGAUCUGCCUGCACUUCGGGAUAAGCCUGGGAAACUGGGUCUAAUACCGGAUAGGACUACAAGGCGCAUGUCUUGUGGUGGAAAGC